GACGAACGCUGGCGGCGUGCUUAACACAUGCGAGUCGAACGGGAUCCGGGCUUUCGGGUUUGGUGAGCGUGGCGAACGGGUGAGUAACACGUGAGUAACCUGCCCCCUUCUUUGGGAUAACGUCGGGAAAUCGGCGCUAAUACUGGAGAUUCUUGCUGCAUCGCAUGGGGGGGGUUGGAAAGGGUUUCUGGUGGGGGAUGGGCUCGCGGCCUAUCAGCCUGUUGGUGGGGUGAUGGCCUACCAAGGCUUUGACGGGUAGCCGGCCUGGGAUGGGGGCCGGGCGCACUUGGACUGCGACACGGCCCCUACUCCUCCGCGCGGCAGCCUUCGGGAGUAUUGCGCGAGGAGCGCUAGCCUGUUGCAGCGACGCCGCGUGAGGGAUGCCGGCCUUCGGGUUGUAGCCCUCUUUCAGUAUGGAGCAAGGAUCCUUCUUUUGGGGGGUUUGAGGGUACGUGCAGAAGAAGCGCCGGCUAACUACGUG
This 481-nucleotide ribosomal RNA is filed under the name uncultured bacterium. RNAcentral describes it as "partial 16S ribosomal RNA". It matches the Rfam family "Bacterial small subunit ribosomal RNA", at positions 28 to 507 of the family's 1533-position model. The record is from RNAcentral.